Long non-coding RNA from Pseudophryne corroboree (corroboree frog), 524 nucleotides. RefSeq lists it as uncharacterized. The transcript has 3 exons. NCBI's taxonomy places the organism in Eukaryota, Metazoa, Chordata, Amphibia, Anura, Myobatrachidae. The record is from RefSeq and is a predicted model, not a curated record.
UAGAUCUUCCCCUUACUAAGUGAAAGGAGUAUUUGUUUCUCCAUGGGGUGGGAACUCUUUGUACCAUACUGGUACUUUAAUAGAUGGUCUAAUUGAUAUCAACCCAAUUAAUUUACCAGGUCUACCACGUGUUCUAAAUUGGUUAGACAUUAUACCCAUUUGAAUUGCCUUCACUCCUGAGUCUCUGAGUGUCAGGUUCAAGCUGCUGACCGACGAGGUUCCUUAUGCUUGCGAACCAGUUAGAUUCUAUACACAUAUGAAUCUUCCCCAUAUUCGAAUAUCUGAAUGUCAGACUCAAGCUGAUGAUAUAUGAGGUAUGGUCCUCGCUGUAUCAAUCAAGUCCCAUUGAAAUAUUGAAACGUUGUUCAUACAUCUUUGAAUGACCUUUUAUGUGCUGACAAUAUGUUCUGAAAUGAAGAGGUAUGUUUUUCACAACCUGUGCUUUUUGGUUCUCUUUUUUCCUCUUUCUUCAUGUUAUUUAUUCUGUUUUCCUCCUCAUGUUGCUAUGUCAUGUUCUUUUGAUA